AUGAAUGUCGAGGUUUGCAGUUUCAGAGGGUACAAGAUCUACCCCGGACACGGGAGGUGCUAUGCCAGGACCAAUGACGAGAAGGUUUUCCAGUGUCUUAAUGCAAAAUGCGAGUUGGCGUUCCUUGCCAAGAGGAAUCCUUGGCAGGUAAACUGGACUGUCCUCUACAGAAGGAAGCACAAAAAAGGACAAUUGGAAGAAAUUCAACAGAAAAGAAGCUGCUGAGCAAAUUGCAGAGGGCCCUUAAUGGUGCAAUCUCUCAUUGACAUAAUGGCCAAGAGGAAUGAGAAACUUGACAUUAGAAAGGCUCAAUGAGAACAAGCUAUCAGGGCUCAUAAAGAAGCAAAAAAGGCUAAGCAAGCAGCUAAAAAGACCGCAAUGGCUGCUGCUAAGACACCUACAAAGGCAGCACCUAGGCAGACAAUUGCAAAGCCUGUGGAAGUUUCAGCUCCCCAAGUUGGUGGAAAACGCUAA
Molecule: long non-coding RNA, 474 nt
Filed under: Homo sapiens (human)
Lineage: Eukaryota; Metazoa; Chordata; Mammalia; Primates; Hominidae
Description: non-protein coding lnc-ARSF-7:1
Source: RNAcentral